Molecule: ribosomal RNA, 2315 nt
Filed under: Klebsiella oxytoca
Lineage: Bacteria; Pseudomonadati; Pseudomonadota; Gammaproteobacteria; Enterobacterales; Enterobacteriaceae
Description: bacterial LSU rRNA
Rfam family: Bacterial large subunit ribosomal RNA
Source: RNAcentral
UUCUGUAGCAAGGUUAACCGUAUAGGGGAGCCGCAGGGAAACCGAGUCUUAACUGGGCGUUAAGUUGCAGGGUAUAGACCCGAAACCCGGUGAUCUAGCCAUGGGCAGGUUGAAGGUUGGGUAACACUAACUGGAGGACCGAACCGACUAAUGUUGAAAAAUUAGCGGAUGACUUGUGGCUGGGGGUGAAAGGCCAAUCAAACCGGGAGAUAGCUGGUUCUCCCCGAAAGCUAUUUAGGUAGCGCCUCGUGAAUUCAUCUUCGGGGGUAGAGCACUGUUUCGGCUAGGGGGUCAUCCCGACUUACCAACCCGAUGCAAACUACGAAUACCGAAGAAUGUUAUCACGGGAGACACACGGCGGGUGCUAACGUCCGUCGUGAAGAGGGAAACAACCCAGACCGCCAGCUAAGGUCCCAAAGUCAUGGUUAAGUGGGAAACGAUGUGGGAAGGCCCAGACAGCCAGGAUGUUGGCUUAGAAGCAGCCAUCAUUUAAAGAAAGCGUAAUAGCUCACUGGUCGAGUCGGCCUGCGCGGAAGAUGUAACGGGGCUAAACCAUGCACCGAAGCUGCGGCAGCGACACUAUGUGUUGUUGGGUAGGGGAGCGUUCUGUAAGCCGUUGAAGGUGGCCUGUGAGGGUUGCUGGAGGUAUCAGAAGUGCGAAUGCUGACAUAAGUAACGAUAAUGCGGGUGAAAAACCCGCACGCCGGAAGACCAAGGGUUCCUGUCCAACGUUAAUCGGGGCAGGGUGAGUCGACCCCUAAGGCGAGGCCGAAAGGCGUAGUCGAUGGGAAACAGGUUAAUAUUCCUGUACUUGGUGUUACUGCGAAGGGGGGACGGAGAAGGCUAUGUUGGCCGGGCGACGGUUGUCCCGGUUUAAGCAUGUAGGCGGAUGUUCCAGGUAAAUCCGGAACGUUAUUAACGCUGAGGUGUGAUGACGAGGCACUACGGUGCUGAAGUGACAAAUGCCCUGCUUCCAGGAAAAGCCUCUAAGCAUCAGGUAACAUCAAAUCGUACCCCAAACCGACACAGGUGGUCAGGUAGAGAAUACCAAGGCGCUUGAGAGAACUCGGGUGAAGGAACUAGGCAAAAUGGUGCCGUAACUUCGGGAGAAGGCACGCUGAUGGUAGGUGAAGUGACUUGCUCAUGGAGCUGAAAUCAGUCGAAGAUACCAGCUGGCUGCAACUGUUUAUUAAAAACACAGCACUGUGCAAACACGAAAGUGGACGUAUACGGUGUGACGCCUGCCCGGUGCCGGAAGGUUAAUUGAUGGGGUUAUCCUCACGGAGAAGCUCUUGAUCGAAGCCCCGGUAAACGGCGGCCGUAACUAUAACGGUCCUAAGGUAGCGAAAUUCCUUGUCGGGUAAGUUCCGACCUGCACGAAUGGCGUAAUGAUGGCCAGGCUGUCUCCACCCGAGACUCAGUGAAAUUGAACUCGCUGUGAAGAUGCAGUGUACCCGCGGCAAGACGGAAAGACCCCGUGAACCUUUACUAUAGCUUGACACUGAACACUGGUCCUUGAUGUGUAGGAUAGGUGGGAGGCUUUGAAGUGUGGACGCCAGUCUGCAUGGAGCCGUCCUUGAAAUACCACCCUUUAAUGGCUGGUGUUCUAACGUGGGCCCCUAAUCGGGGUUGCGGACAGUGUCUGGUGGGUAGUUUGACUGGGGCGGUCUCCUCCUAAAGAGUAACGGAGGAGCACGAAGGUCAGCUAAUCCUGGUCGGACAUCAGGAGGUUAGUGCAAUGGCAUAAGCUGGCUUGACUGCGAGCGUGACGGCGCGAGCAGGUGCGAAAGCAGGUCAUAGUGAUCCGGUGGUUCUGAAUGGAAGGGCCAUCGCUCAACGGAUAAAAGGUACUCCGGGGAUAACAGGCUGAUACCGCCCAAGAGUUCAUAUCGACGGCGGUGUUUGGCACCUCGAUGUCGGCUCAUCACAUCCUGGGGCUGAAGUAGGUCCCAAGGGUAUGGCUGUUCGCCAUUUAAAGUGGUACGCGAGCUGGGUUUAGAACGUCGUGAGACAGUUCGGUCCCUAUCUGCCGUGGGCGCUGGAGAAUUGAGGGGGGCUGCUCCUAGUACGAGAGGACCGGAGUGGACGCAUCACUGGUGUUCGGGUUGUCAUGCCAAUGGCAUUGCCCGGUAGCUAAAUGCGGAAGAGAUAAGUGCUGAAAGCAUCUAAGCACGAAACUUGCCCCGAGAUGAGUUCUCCCUGACUCCUUGAGAGUCCUGAAGGAACGUUGAAGACGACGACGUUGAUAGGCCGGGUGUGUAAGCGCAGCGAUGCGUUGAGCUAACCGGUACUAAUGAACCGUGAGGCUUAACCUU